This 492-nucleotide ribosomal RNA is filed under the name uncultured bacterium. RNAcentral describes it as "partial 16S ribosomal RNA". It matches the Rfam family "Bacterial small subunit ribosomal RNA", at positions 29 to 507 of the family's 1533-position model. The record is from RNAcentral.
AGUGAACGCUGGCGGGAGGCCUAACACAUGCAAGUCGAACGGCAGCACAGUAAGAGCUUGCUCUUACGGGUGGCGAGUGGCGGACGGGUGAGGAAUACAUCGGAAUCUACUUUUUCGUGGGGGAUAACGUAGGGAAACUUACGCUAAUACCGCAUACGACCUACGGGUGAAAGAAGGGGAUCUUCGGACCUUGCGCGAUUGAAUGAGCCGAUGUCGGAUUAGCUAGUUGGCGGGGUAAAGGCCCACCAAGGCGACGAUCCGUAGCUGGUCUGAGAGGAUGAUCAGCCCCACUGGAACUGAGACACGGUCCAGACUCCUACGGGAGGCAGCAGUCGGGAAUAUUGGACAAUGGGCGCAAGCCUGAUCCAGCCAUACCGCGUGGGUGAAGAAGGCCUUCGGCUUGUAAAGCCCUUUUGUUGCGAAAGAAAAGCAGCAGGUUAACACCCCCCUGUUCUGCCGGUCCCCAAAGAAUAAGCACCGGCUACCUUCGUG